Molecule: transfer RNA, 77 nt
Filed under: Feifania hominis
Lineage: Bacteria; Bacillati; Bacillota; Clostridia; Eubacteriales; Feifaniaceae
Description: Clostridiales bacterium BX7 tRNA-Pro
Rfam family: tRNA
About the family: Transfer RNA (tRNA) molecules are approximately 80 nucleotides in length. Their secondary structure includes four short double-helical elements and three loops (D, anti-codon, and T loops).
Source: RNAcentral
CGGGGUGUAGCGCAGUUUGGUAGCGCGCUUGGUUCGGGACCAAGAGGCCCCGGGUUCGAAUCCCGGCACUCCGACCA